Molecule: ribosomal RNA, 303 nt
Filed under: uncultured bacterium
Lineage: Bacteria
Description: partial 16S ribosomal RNA
Rfam family: Bacterial small subunit ribosomal RNA
Source: RNAcentral
AGCAGCAGCCACGGUAAUACGUAGGUGGCAAGCGUUGUCCGGAAUUAUUGGGCGUAAGGGCUCGCAGGCGGUUUCUUAAGUCUGAUGUGAAAGCCCCCGGCUCAACCGGGGAGGGUCAUUGGAAACUGGGAAACUUGAGUGCAGAAGAGGAGAGUGGAAUUCCACGUGUAGCGGUGAAAUGCGUAGAGAUGUGGAGGAACACCAGUGGCGAAGGCGACUCUCUGGUCUGUAACUGACGCUGAGGAGCGAAAGCGUGGGGAGCGAACAGGAUUAGAGACCCCCGUAGUCCCUGUCUCUUAUACA